Molecule: long non-coding RNA, 1106 nt
Organism: Herpailurus yagouaroundi (jaguarundi)
Lineage: Eukaryota; Metazoa; Chordata; Mammalia; Carnivora; Felidae
Exons: 4
Source: RefSeq, a predicted model, not a curated record
CUCCCAGAAACACCCGGGCCUCCGCCUAAUGCUCUACAUCUCACCUGGCACCGCCCCUUCCUGCGGACCUUACCUCUUAUUCCCGCCCCUUCCUGCCUCUGAGCCAAUCGCUCUCUGCCUCUCGCACAGGCUCUGUUUCCUCCUCUACUACUGGGCACUUUCUUCCGUCAGGUCUCAGAAACUCCAACCAACGGGAGCCAGUCAGCAGCUCCGCACUCAGCCAAGGGGGACUGAGCGGGAAGUAAGCAGAGCCCCGCGCUGCAUUGAGGGCGCUCUUCCUGGCUGGCUCCGGAUUCUUGGGCCGUCAGAUGAGCUUGGCCCAAACACCGGUUUCCGUGGGUUCAAGACAUGAGUCGUCGUCUCUUGUUAUGAGCCACCUCGGGGCUGUCAUGGAUUCGGUCAGUGAUAAAGCGCACAGACACUGUUGGUGCAAUUACAAGUGAAAUGGUAAUCACUUCUGAACACGAAGAGAUCAUGGAAACCCAAACCUUGUCUCGAGUUCAGAUGCCUGCCUUCUGUACCUGCAUAGGCUGCCCCCACACCCACUGUCCUGACAGCAAAUGCCCCCUGGGACAGGAGUUUGCUCAGAACCAUAGGCAUAUUGCCACCCUUGUCUCCCUGUAUUGGGACAGCUUAACGUCUUCUUUUCUGCUGCCCUGUCAUGGCAGAGAGAGAGAGAGAGAGACAGAGACAGAGAGACAGACACAGAGACGGGAAAAUACAUUGCUCCUGCUUUGGGACAAAGUGGGGUCGGCGUCCCAGGCACGCAAAGACUGCUUUGAUGAAAACCAAGAUGUUUCUAGAGGACUUUUUCCAACUCUCUCAAACCCAACGCUCAGCCACAAGUACAGUCACAGCUACAGUACAUACCACCCUCCAGAGAGAGGGCAGAGGAGGGUGGGGUGUUCAAGAAUCAGCUCUCCUUUCCAAAGAACAGAAAACUGUGCACGCUAUCCUGAAAACAAACAAAAACUAGACGUCCUAUGAAGUCAUCACGAAGUGCAGUUGUACUAUGCAUGACAGAUACGUGUGUGCUCACUGUGAAAAUGUGACCUGUGUGUAGCCUUAUAAAGGUGCGGAGGAAGCUCCGAGUGAGGAAAUGAUCA